Alosa sapidissima (American shad) is the source of this 126-nucleotide long non-coding RNA. RefSeq lists it as uncharacterized. The transcript is spliced from 3 exons. The record is from RefSeq and is a predicted model, not a curated record. Lineage: Eukaryota; Metazoa; Chordata; Actinopteri; Clupeiformes; Clupeidae.
UAGAACACCAGAGGAACCACAUUUAAAUGGGAGAUACAGUUGUGUAUCAUCCGCAUAGCAAUGAUAGGAUAUACCGUGCUUUUUCAUAAUUUGACUGAGUGGCAACAUAUAGGAUAAUGAGUCCUU